AACAGGAUUAGAUACCCUGGUAGUCCACGCCGUAAACGUUGGGCGCUAGGUGUGGGGGCCAUUCCACGGUCUCCGUGCCGCAGCUAACGCAUUAAGCGCCCCGCCUGGGGAGUACGGCCGCAAGGCUAAAACUCAAAGGAAUUGACGGGGGCCCGCACAAGCGGCGGAGCAUGUUGCUUAAUUCGAUGCAACGCGAAGAACCUUACCUAGGCUUGACAUGCACGGAAAUCUGUCAGAGAUGGCAGGUCCUUCGGGGUCGUGCACAGGUGGUGCAUGGUUGUCGUCAGCUCGUGUCGUGAGAUGUUGGGUUAAGUCCCGCAACGAGCGCAACCCUCGUUCUAUGUUGCCAGCGGGUCAUGCCGGGGACUCAUAGGAGACUGCCGGGGUCAACUCGGAGGAAGGUGGGGAUGACGUCAAAUCAUCAUGCCCCUUAUGUCUAGGGCUGCAAACAUGCUACAAUGGCCGGCACAAGGGGCUGCGAUACCGUGAGGUGGAGCGAAUCCCAAAAAGCCGGUCUCAGUUCGGAUUGGGGUCUGCAACUCGACCCCAUGAAGUUGGAGUCGCUAGUAAUCGCAGAUCAGCAACGCUGCGGUGAAUACGUUCCCGGGCCUUGUACACACCGCCCGUCACGUCACGAAAGUCGGUAACGCCCGAAGCCGGUGGCCCAACCCCUUUGUGGGAGGGAGCCGUCGAAGGCGGGAUCGGCGAUUGGGACGAAGUCGUAACAAGGUAACC
RNAcentral lists this ribosomal RNA (735 nucleotides) under uncultured bacterium. RNAcentral's name for it is "bacterial SSU rRNA". It matches the Rfam family "Bacterial small subunit ribosomal RNA", at positions 771 to 1501 of the family's 1533-position model. The record is from RNAcentral.